AUCUUCGGAUCCCGAGUAGAGUGGCGCACGGGUGAGUAACACGUGGAUAACCUGCCCUGUGAUCUGGAAUAACCUUCCGAAAGGGGGGCUAAUACCGGAUAAGCCCACGGAGACCUCGGUCUUAGUGGGAAAAGAUUUAUCGUCACAGGAUGGGUCCGCGGUCCAUUAGCUAGUUGGUGGGGUAAUGGCCCACCAAGGCCACGAUGGAUAGCUGGUCUGAGAGGAUGAUCAGCCACACUGGAACUGAGACACGGUCCAGACUCCUACGGGAGGCAGCAGUGGGGAAUUUUGCGCAAUGGGGGAAACCCUGACGCAGCAACGCCGCGUGAAGGAUGAAGGCCUUUGGGUCGUAAACUUCUGUCAGAGGGGAAGAAAUGCCCGCAAGGGAGCUGACGGUACCCUCAAAGGAAGCACCGGCUAACUCCGUGCCAGCAGCCGCGGUAAUACGGAGGGUGCAAGCGUUGUUCGGAAUUAUUGGGCGUAAAGCGCAUGUAGGCGGUCUGUUAAGUCUGGUGUGAAAGCCCGGGGCUCAACCCCGGAAGUGCAUUGGAUACUGGCAGACUUGAGUAUGGGAGAGGAAAGUGGAAUUCCGAGUGUAGGAGUGAAAUCCGUAGAUAUUCGGAGGAACACCAGUGGCGAAGGCGGCUUUCUGGACCAAUACUGACGCUGAGAUGCGAAAG
Molecule: ribosomal RNA, 680 nt
Filed under: uncultured bacterium
Lineage: Bacteria
Description: bacterial SSU rRNA
Rfam family: Bacterial small subunit ribosomal RNA
Source: RNAcentral